RNAcentral lists this transfer RNA (72 nucleotides) under Oxalobacteraceae bacterium. Its description in RNAcentral is "tRNA-Gly". It matches the Rfam family "tRNA". From Rfam's summary of the family: Transfer RNA (tRNA) molecules are approximately 80 nucleotides in length. Their secondary structure includes four short double-helical elements and three loops (D, anti-codon, and T loops). The record is from RNAcentral. Lineage: Bacteria; Pseudomonadati; Pseudomonadota; Betaproteobacteria; Burkholderiales; Oxalobacteraceae.
GCGGCCCUAGCUCAGCGGUAGAGCAUGACGUUCCCAACGUCGGGGUCAGGGGUUCGAACCCCCUGGGCCGCU